CACGUAGUUAGCCGUGACUUUCUGGCGGGACACCAUCAGUCAGCACCCAUUUCCUGAUGCUGCCUUUUUUCCCCCGCAACAGAGCUUUACGACCCGAAGGCCUUCUUCACUCACGCGGCAUCGCUCGUUCAGGCUUGCGCCCAUUGACGAAAAUUCCCUACUGCUGCCUCCCGCAGGAGUCUGGGCCUGUCUCAGUCCCAAUGUGGCCGUCCGCCCUCUCAGGCCGGCUAUGCAUCAUCGUCUUGGUGGGCCUUUACCCGCCAACCAACUAAUGCACCGCAGGUCCAUCCGCGCCCCAUCCCCUAGACGGAUGUUUCACAGAAAGAGAUGCCUCCUUCCUGUACAUCGGGAUUUCGUUCUCCGUUCCAGACGUCGUGUUCCCGGUGCGGCGGGCAGGUUCCCUACGUCGUUACUCACCCGUUCGCCACUACGAGACCCCGGAAGGUCUCGUCGUUCGACUUGCAUGUAUUAGGCUAUCGCCGCCAGG
RNAcentral lists this ribosomal RNA (487 nucleotides) under uncultured Erysipelotrichaceae bacterium. RNAcentral's name for it is "partial 16S ribosomal RNA". Lineage: Bacteria; Bacillati; Bacillota; Erysipelotrichia; Erysipelotrichales; Erysipelotrichaceae. The record is from RNAcentral.